GACGAACGCUGGCGGCGUGCCUAAUACAUGCAAGUCGAACGCUGAAGAGAGGAGCUUGCUCUUCUUGGAUGAGUUGCGAACGGGUGAGUAACGCGUAGGUCACCUGCCUGGUAGCGGGGGAUAACUAUUGGAAACGAUAGCUAAUACCGCAUAAAAUGGAUUAUCGCAUGAUAAUCCAUUGAAAGGUGCAAAUGCAUCACUACCAGAUGGACCUGCGUUGUAUUAGCUAGUUGGUGGGGUAACGGCUCACCAAGGGGACGAUACAUAGCCGACCUGGGAGGGUGAACGGCCACACUGGGAUUGGGGCACCGGCCAGACUCCUACGGGAGGCAGCAGGAGGGGAUCUUCGGCAAUGGACGGAAAUCUGACCGAGCAACGCCGCGGGAGUGAAGAAGGUUGUCGGAUCGGAAAGCUCUGUUGUAAGAGAAGAACGAGUGGGAGGGUGGAAAGUUCACGCUGUGACGGUAUCUUACCAGAAAGCGACGGCUAACUACGUG
Molecule: ribosomal RNA, 497 nt
Filed under: uncultured bacterium
Lineage: Bacteria
Description: partial 16S ribosomal RNA
Rfam family: Bacterial small subunit ribosomal RNA
Source: RNAcentral